Molecule: non-coding RNA, 1101 nt
Organism: Paramormyrops kingsleyae
Lineage: Eukaryota; Metazoa; Chordata; Actinopteri; Osteoglossiformes; Mormyridae
Source: RefSeq, a predicted model, not a curated record
GCUCUCGUCGUCCUGUUCCAGGGCUGCAUGGCGCAUUCGGGCCCCCCCUUCCUCAUACAACGGAUGUGAAAUAAAACCUCAGCUCGAGACAGUUUGCGGGAAGGGGUGGAGAGCCAGAGGAGAUUGGAAGAGCUCCCGUCACAUGAUCAACAUGAGAGCGAGACCCCAUCCCUUGUUCGGAGUGAGAGCCGCUUCAUUCCGGAAGGAUGGGAACGUUUAGAGGCUUCAAACAGAUAAGACCCCCCCCCACACCCCAUCGGUGUCCACAGAAAAGGAGGUGACCUGUCAGCCUCCCCAUUGACAGACCAAAUUGAUGGAUGAUGGCAGCUUGGUGUGGAGCUGGGCUGUAGGCUGAUUCCCGUAAGCUCCAUAGUGUCUGCCCCCUGGGAGGACCGACCAAGUAAAUGUCCGGGGGGGAAGUAACAGUGAAAUACAGGGCUGGACAUGGGUGGUGUGCCCCUUGAGAGAUGUUGCUAGAACAGAUUGGAAGGAGUGGCGGUCCAGUGUGUCUCCCUCUGCUGGCGUGUGGCAGAACUGCACCAAGUUCUCGACUGAAAUCCUUUCAGUUUGGUGAUUUCAGUCCUUUUGCUCAUAAAUUGACUUGGACCAAACCGGAGCACAAGCUAGGAGGUAACAUGGGCUGGACACCCACCCACACUGAAAGCUGACAGGCAGCAUGUUGGGCCACCCCCAACACCAGCAAGGACCCAAGAAGGCCCCCACCAAUCAGAAUCCAGCCUCAGACAAACCUGACACCUCCUACUUUAUUGAAACUAUUGUUUUCGACUCUUCGUGUUUAUUUGCACGUCAGUGUAUCUGCACUGCAGAUUGUUGUCGUUUUAAGAGUAAAUCUGUGAUGAAACUAACGCAGAGCAUCAUUUCCUGUGUCAGUUUACUGUGAAUUAUUGCCAUUUCAGUCUAUACAUAUUUCUCAAGCUCUGUACUCUCGGUGUAAUUAUUGCUUAUCAGCCCAUUAAGGCCAUCAUGAGCCAAGGAUUGAUCACCUUUCCUAGAUACCCCAGUCUGUCCCUUUUCCCCAGCCUGUGUCUGUCUCUCUCUCCAUAUCAGUAGCUCGUUAUUAAAAUAAACGUUGACAUCCAA